AACGUGGGUUCCGAGCGUUAUCCGGAUUUACUGGGCGUAAAGCGUGUUCAGGCGGCUCAGCAAGUCGGGCAUGAAAUCUCUCGGCUCAACCGGGAGAGGCUGUCCGAUACUGCUGGGCUUGAGGGCAGUAGAGGGUGGUGGAAUUCCGGGUGUAGUGGUGAAAUGCGUAGAUAUCCGGAGGAACACCAGUGGCGAAAGCGGCCACCUGGACUGUACCUGACGCUCAAACACGAAAGCUAGGGGAGCGAACGGG
RNAcentral lists this ribosomal RNA (253 nucleotides) under uncultured bacterium. RNAcentral's name for it is "partial 16S ribosomal RNA". It matches the Rfam family "Bacterial small subunit ribosomal RNA", at positions 524 to 776 of the family's 1533-position model. The record is from RNAcentral.